This 61-nucleotide small RNA is filed under the name Coscinodiscus wailesii. Its description in RNAcentral is "partial Mitochondrion-encoded tmRNA". Lineage: Eukaryota; Bacillariophyta; Coscinodiscophyceae; Coscinodiscales; Coscinodiscaceae. The record is from RNAcentral.
GCUCAAUGCUGGUGCUGUAAAAUUACAAUAUUGUGAGGUUUACGUCAAUGAUAAUGGAGAG